This 253-nucleotide ribosomal RNA is filed under the name uncultured bacterium. RNAcentral describes it as "partial 16S ribosomal RNA". It matches the Rfam family "Bacterial small subunit ribosomal RNA", at positions 524 to 776 of the family's 1533-position model. The record is from RNAcentral.
UACAUGUGGGGCAAGCGUUGUUCGGAAUUACUGGGCAUAAAGGGUGCGUAGGUGGUUUGUUAAGUCAGGGGUGAAAGUUUUCGGCCCAACCGGAAAAUGGCCUUUGAUACUGGCGAGCUUGAGUGCGUGAGGGGUAACCGGAACGAGCAGUGUAGCGGUGAAAUGCGUAGAUAUCAGGAGGAACACCGGCGGCGAAGGCGGCCCUCUGGAUCGUUGCUGACGCUGAUACGCGAAAGCGUGGGGAGCAAACAGG